Molecule: ribosomal RNA, 477 nt
Filed under: uncultured bacterium
Lineage: Bacteria
Description: partial 16S ribosomal RNA
Rfam family: Bacterial small subunit ribosomal RNA
Source: RNAcentral
GAUGAACGCUGGCGGCGUGCAUAACACAUGCAAGUCGAACGAUAAAGCUUAAAAGAUUUCUUCGGAAUGACCUUAAUUGGAGUAGUGGCGGACUGGUGAGUAACGCGUGAGUAACCUGCCUUGUACAAGGGGAUAGCCGUUUGAAACGACGAAUAAUACCCUAUGACAUCAAUUAAUCGCAUGAUAAUUUGAUCAAGGAUUUACCGGCUUAAGAUGGACUCGCGUCUGAGUGGCUAGUUGGUAGGGUAAAAGACGACCGAGCCAACGAUCAGUAGCCGGCUGUGGAGAGCGACAGGGGGAAUUGGGAAUGAGACACGGCCCAGACGCAUACGGGAGGGAGGAGUGGGGAAUAAUGCACGCAGGGCGGAACCAGGAAGCAGCGGCGCCGCAGGACUGAGUAGGCGUUCGAGUUGUAAAAAACUUUUGAAUGAGCAGAAAAUGACGGUACCAGCAGAAUAAGGACCGGCUAACUACGUG